This 1440-nucleotide long non-coding RNA is filed under the name Equus asinus (donkey). RNAcentral describes it as "lncRNA (ENSEASG00005036454.1)". The record is from RNAcentral. Lineage: Eukaryota; Metazoa; Chordata; Mammalia; Perissodactyla; Equidae.
GUUUCAUUUAGCGCUUGUAUGGAACUCAUGCUGGGGCUGUAAUUACUGUAAUCUCGGGAACAAGCAUUUCGGUUAGCCAGGAGGGUGGCAAAACGCGUUCCCUCUCUCCCUCUCUCCCCCUCCCUCUCUUCCCUCUCUUCCCUCUCUCUCUGUUGCGAGAUUUUUGCUGAUUGUCAGAUUUCAUAGCAAGACCGAGUAGGACUAGGGAGCCGAAGUUGUGGAGGGUGUGGGCACAGAGAAGCAGAAUUACAGAUGAAAGCUUUGAUGAUGUGGAAUGUGGAAUUUUUCGGAAAACGAUCCUGUCAGAAGGAGCUACUCACUGCUGUGUCUGCUGUAACAAGGCUAAGUGGGAUGGAAGGAGAUAACCGAGGCAAAUGUGUGCCACUGGCCAGGAAUCAGGUUCUCACUUGACAUGUGGCUGCCAUUUUGGAAAAUGGCAACUGCACUGUCAUUGUUUAAUUUUAUCAUUAUUCUAUAAUGUGUCUUAAAAAUUGAUAAUUGUUUCCCUCAUUCACACUGGAAUAUUGCCCAGAUGCGGAAACUCUUGUGAUAUAGGAUGCAUUGUGCAUGAGUUUGAGAACUUUUAGGUGCAAUAAAGACCUCCUAAGUGUAACUGGUUUAGCCAAGAAGGACACUUAAUUCAUCUCAUAUGUCAAUGAAUUUGGAAACAGGAAGUUCCACCAUUGGUUCAUUCUGUGACUCAACCGUGUGAGGCCUGCAGCUCGCCUUCUAGGCUCUCAGCUUCCCGUUUGGUUGCAGGGGGCCUGCCUCUGCGGAGUCGGCAUGCUUCCUGGGACAGCUGCCAAGGCAGGAAGAAUGGCAGGACUCCCCCUGUGCACCUCUGCCCUUGGAAAAGAAAGUCUGCCCCAAAGGCCUUUGACCAGCUGUAGGCUGUGGUGGGCGGCUGGUGACAGGUGGGCUCUUGUUGCAAGGAAGCCAAGGAGGGGAAAGUGACUAUUGAGCAGACGACAGUCAGCCACACGUUACUCUUUGAAACGAACUUUCAAGCAAUAUCAUUGAGCCAACAUGCCUAGUCUUCCAAAGUGUUUUGUUCAGGGCUGUGAGUUAAGUAUGAUCUAGAUCCAAGAAAACCUUGAUAUCUACAUUUUUUUCCUUUUGAAGAUCACACAAUACAGUUCUCUGACAGUUGGUGUGAAAUAAAUGUCGAAUGGUUUACUACUUGUUUUAUUUAUAAUAUUAUAAACUGCGUAGAGUUUAGUUCCUUACUUCCUUUUUAUUAAGCCCCUCCCCUCCUUUUGGGAGACUUCCUUAAAAAUAUUGACACAGGGGCCGCCCCGUGGCCAAGUGGUUAAGUUCACAUGCUCUGGUUCAGCGGCCCAGGGUUUCGCUGGUUCCGAUCCUGCGCACGCAUGUGGCACCGUCAUGAAGCCACACUCUGGCGGCGUCCCACACAGCACAGCCAGAAGGACCUGCAACUGG